This 497-nucleotide ribosomal RNA is filed under the name uncultured bacterium. RNAcentral describes it as "partial 16S ribosomal RNA". It matches the Rfam family "Bacterial small subunit ribosomal RNA", at positions 28 to 507 of the family's 1533-position model. The record is from RNAcentral.
GAUGAACGCUGGCGGCGUGCCUAAUACAUGCAAGUCGAGCGAACAGACGAGGAGCUUGCUCCUCUGACGUUAGCGGCGGACGGGUGAGUAACACGUGGAUAACCUACCUAUAAGACUGGGAUAACUUCGGGAAACCGGAGCUAAUACCGGAUAAUAUAUUGAACCGCAUGGUUCAAUAGUGAAAGACGGUUUUGCUGUCACUUAUAGAUGGAUCCGCGCCGCAUUAGCUAGUUGGUAAGGUAACGGCUUACCAAGGCAACGAUGCGUAGCCGACCUGAGAGGGUGAUCGGCCACGCUGGAACUGAGACACGGUCCAGACUCCUACGGGAGGCAGCAGUAGGGAAUCUUCCGCAAAGGGCGAAAGCCUGACGGAGCAAUGCCGCGUGAGUGAUGAAGGUCUUCGGAUCGUAAAACUCUGUUAUUAGGGAAGAACAAAUGUGUAAGUAACUAUGCACGUCUUGACGGUACCUAAUCAGAAAGCCACGGCUAACUACGUG